UGAUUGCGGUUGCACAGAGCCUUAGAAGACCGGGCUUAAUAAAAAAAAUACGCCAGCGAAGCGGCAUAAAAAUUUUAUAGCCUCCGAUGGCGGUCUUCCAGGCGCGAGAGACGUAAAAUGCGUAAUGAUGCCGAGGAAUCGAAUAGGAAGGAAGGAAAAAGGGCUGUUAGGCACGUGCAAAUCGAUUCUGCGGUAGAACGACAAUUAUACGAUCCGAUGUGAAUAACAGACUGUUUCGAUUAAUCGUGCAAACACUCUCUAUUUCUCUUUUCCUUUUUCCUUUUAUUUAUCGUUGCAACACAUUUUUUAUUCAACAUAACACGUGAUUGAAUCACGCAUAUGGCAAAAGGUUAAGCGUGAAGAAUUUGAAUUGAAGGUUAAGUUUGGAUUAAAUGUUUGUAAGGUUAAAUUGAUAUAAGCAAUUUUAAAGGGAAGAAUUGCGAAAUAGUGGACGUGAAACAGUGUAGAUUGAUCGAUACGAUGUUACAUAAUUAUCUUUUAAUGUUGGAAAAUGAAGAAUCGAGCGACGGGGAAAAUCUUCGGAGGAGGAAGUCUGCGAGGAAAGGAAAUAACCGGCCGAUAUAUACGGAACUUUCGAGAUAUUUCCGUAAUUCGACUCGAAACUUUCGAAUUCCAAACUAGCUUUCGAUCGUCAGGGGACGAUCUCAUGAUUCCAAGAGAUUAAGAGAGCUCGGGAAUAAAGUGCAUCCAGCAAGAUUCUUCGAGAGGGAGAAAUUAUAAGAAAAGUAAUUGAAUAAGAGGGGGGAGGAGAACGUUUCGCGAUAACAGGAUAAAGCGUCUAUGCUUUUUCCGAUAUCUUAAACCUAUAAAUUUGAAAUGUUCGAUGAGGGGUAGGAUUAACAAGAAUUGAAUUAUUUUAUUCAUAUGCUGCGCCAUUAUCGUAAAUAUAUAAUAUAUUUUUCCUAUUAAGAAGUUUUAUUUUAAUUUGAUAGAAACGUUUCGAGAAAAAGAAAAGGAACACGUGUUAUUUAAAUUAUUUAAGAAUAGACGGUAUUUAUCGAAAGGAAGUAAAUAAAUAUUAUUUUUCAAUAAAUUACACUCGAAAACGCAUAAGAUUAUAAAAUAAAAGAAUCAAUUUCCGUGUGUUCGAAGAGUUUGCGCUGGCAAACGCGGUUCAAAAAUAUUUUCCUCUCCAAAAUAAAUAUUUUCUUGCCUAUAUAUUCUUCGGGGUAACAUUCAACUACGUUCCCAAUAGAAUCAAACCGCUGUUGGCGAAAUAUAGAACUAUAACGGAUUAAAUAAAUAUCUCCAAUAUAGCGUCUUAAAAUGAAACUUUUUAUCACUUUUUACAAACACCUUUUACACGUAUUUGUUUCAUCGAAACAUCGUACAUCUAUCUAUACCAUCGAGUACCAACAAUUUUUAUUCAAUAUCGAGUAUCGAUUCUUUUAUUAAUUUCAUUAUUGAUUCAAAACGAGCGCUAUAAAGUGCUAAUCGAUUAUUAAUUUCAAUGUAAAGAACAUCUUGACGUCUCAGUCAACAGGAUAUUAUGCCAGAAAAUUGCGUUAACCUCGUUAAAAUUAAAUCUUAUUUUUCCAUUUCAUAUUUUUGAAUUCCGUUAAGAUAUACAUUAAACGAUUCUAAAUUUUUAUCCAUUAUAUCGCGUCGUUCAUAAUUUAAUUAUUAACACGUGCGAGAAAAAAUUUCCAAUCAGAAACCGAAACACAUUUUUUGGCAGAGCAGUAACAUCUUCAACAUAACCUCUUCGAAGCUUUAUAGGAGAUGGAUUCUAGGUCGGGAAUAAAAGGAGGCAUGAGCCAAUAGUUUGUGACGUUUAGUUGUUUAUUAGCAUUGAUGAUGCCAUUUGCACGCUUUAUUCGUAGAACAGUUUUAUCCUUGAGCAGUGCAGGCAUUUUGAGAUUGGUCUAAUCGUUCACUUGCGUAAUAUGCAAUUUAACGCUGCGUUAAUUGAAGAAUAGGAAAAAAAAGAAAAAGAAAAAGAAAAAAAAAUUCUCACAAACGAGAGUGUUAACAACGUCAGCAUCGCGUCAUCUUGCUUGUUGGUUACUGUUACCGAUACUCGCAUGACGUAUGCAUCCUCCACAGUGCGUGAUGUGACGUGCUUAGGUAUCGAGUAUAUCGCUAUCAUAUGAUGUCUCUGGUUAUGUAUACUGUUUCUGACACGCGAUCACGUAUAUACAACACUCGAGAUUUCAACGUUUGUUAAGUGUUUGAUUUUAAUUCUUAAUCUUAAUCUUUUCUACAGUUUUUAUAAUUUUAAAUAAUUAACAUUUCGUGACGAGUAAUUAUUUGUAAUUAUUUGUAAUUAUACGAUUAAUCGAAGGAAUUUCUUCUUAAAUUAAAUUUUGCGAGUUGAAAAAAGGAAUUUUUUUAAAGAAAGAUUUUGAUAAUUUUCGCGAUUAUAAAUAGAAAUUUCGUGUAAGAAUAAAUCUCUUAUCAAAGUUUUGCGAAUGGUUUUCGAAUUUUUUUUUUUAAAAACAAAUUGAAACGGGAUUUAUUAUUUGUAACGAGAUUUCUCAUGCAUCGAAUUAGUCGCGAUAAGCGGGUCGUAAGUGGCCACAACAAUUCCAAUUACGUAAUUUAAUUUUACAGUACGUAAUUUAAUUUUAUAUCCGACGUAUAAAUUACGAAAUAAAAUUAAAUCUUCUCCUGUUAAAAA
Molecule: long non-coding RNA, 2641 nt
Organism: Apis cerana (Asiatic honeybee)
Lineage: Eukaryota; Metazoa; Arthropoda; Insecta; Hymenoptera; Apidae
Source: RefSeq, a predicted model, not a curated record